GAGAGAGAAGAGGAAUCAGAACCGGAUUUCACCAGAUUCUUAUCAACCUUCGAAUCCUCCAUCAAUUUCAGCACUACAUAGAGAUUCAAAUUGGCUUCAAUUUCAUCUAAGUCGCCGACUUGAACUUUGAUCCAUCAGAAAUUUAAAGAAGAAGAAGAAAGUGCAAGGAACAAAAAUGGCUUUAGAGAGAUUUGAGGAGCAGGACUUUCUCGCAUGCUGUGGUAGCACCAAAUUCGCUAAAGAAAUGGUGUUGGCUUCCCCUUUUACUUCCCUUGAAGAAGCCAUCGCUGCAGCCAGAAACAUCUGGUUUAACAAGGUUGAUGUGAAUGGUUGGCUUGAAGCAUUCUCUUCUCAUCCUCAGAUUGGACAAUCCCCUUCUUCUGCCCACACUUCUCACACUGCUGCUCAAUGGAGUAAGGGAGAGCAGUCAACUGCUUUAGCAACUUCUACUGGUUCCAGCUUACAGGAACUUUCUGACUGGAAUGCCCAGUAUAGGCAAAAGUUUGGAUUUAUAUUUAUUAUAUGUGCAUCUGGACGGAGUACUGCUGAAAUACUUGCUGAAUUGAAGAAACGGUACCAAAACAGGCCCAUAGUUGAGUUUGAAAUUGCAGCUCAAGAGCAAAUGAAAGUAACAGAGCUCCGCCUUGGAAAGCUCUUCUCAACCAAAACUAAACCUGCUUCCUCUGGUAAGCAACAUCCCACAGUUUUAGCGACAAAAGUAGAAGAUCGUGUGGCUGUUGUUGGAGGACAUUUAAAGGCUGCUCCUAAUCCUUCAUCUGAUAAGGCAUCUCAAGUUCCAACUCGAACCCGUCCACCCAUUACAACUCAUGUCUUAGAUGUUUCUCAGGGUUGUCCAGCCACUGGUGUUGAGGUGCGUUUGGAGAUGUGGAAGGGCAGUCAACCCCGUCCCUUGUUUGAUAAGACAGAUAUUGGCGGUUGGAUAUUUCAGGGGUCUUCGAUUACAGAUGUGGAUGGGCGAAGUGGUCAAUUGAUGAGCAUUGUUAAUGAUGUGAACCCUGGAAUAUACAGAAUAAGUUUCAACACAGGCAAGUACUGUCCACCUGGGUUCUUUCCAUAUGUUUCUAUUGUGUUUGAAAUCAAAGAAUCACAGAACAGGGAACAUUUUCAUGUUCCUCUGCUGCUUUCACCAUUCUCAUUCAGUACAUACCGUGGCAGCUAGAGCCUUGGUAUGUCAGUAGACAAACCANNNNNNNNNNNNNUUCCAUUGCGAAUGUAGUAAAUACUCUUAUCAACUUACGUUGUAAAAAGUUUAGCAAUAAUAGUUGAUGCUUGUUCUCUGCCUGCCU
This 1307-nucleotide unclassified non-coding RNA is filed under the name Hevea brasiliensis (rubber tree). The record is from RNAcentral. Lineage: Eukaryota; Viridiplantae; Streptophyta; Magnoliopsida; Malpighiales; Euphorbiaceae.